GAGGGGCAAAACAAUCAUGUUCGUCCGUUUCACCCACGUCCAACCCGCUUUUCACCGUGGCCGUUAGAUGCAGUCAUUUUUUCUGCACCUUUUGUCUUUAAACGAGCCAAUGACUCAUGGGACCAGCUGCGUAUGGGGGUCGCCUGUCGGAGACAGCCGCAGGUGUUCGUCCGCGUUACCUUCUUUCUCCUACCCGCGAGAGCAGUAAAAACCUAGAUCACGGGGCACCCAAUCCCCGCGUCUCCUCUCCUCCCCAAUCCCCGCUUCUCCUCUUCUCCAAUGGAGUCCAACCAGCCGCAUCCUUCCUCCUCCCCCGAUCCGCGCCGCCUUCUUCCUCCUCCCGCGAUCCGCACCGGCUCCUCUCCUCCUCCCGAAGGCGCCGAAGAAGGGACGCUGCAAAAGGGAUGAGAAGAGGCAGGAGGGAGCGCGGGCGCCGCCGCUGCCGCUUCGUACCUCGCAUCGGGAGGGCGUGGCCGUGCGAAGAGUAGGCGGGCGUGGGCUGCGUCAGCCGCCGCCUCGGGUCGACGCCGCCGUCGCGGGUUCUCCUCCAUGCCAUGGCCGACCACUCCCUGCGCUGCGUCCUGUCCUCGCCACCAUCAGCACCUCCACAUCCUAUUUCUAACCCCUGCCAGUAAAGAAGGAGAGUGGACGCGAGGAAGAGGAGGAGCGGCGGCAGGAAAGACGUCCUCACUCACACCCGUGGUUUGAUAAGGAGAUUUUUAUUUUGUUGUACUCCUAUUCCUGGAGGUGUUGGAGCAGAGCGGGCCUAGCCGGACAGUGGUGCUCCCCUGCCAUCUCCCUCCGUGGAGCUGCCUGUUGGUACUGACUAGAUUCAUGAUGGAUCUCUUUGGUAUGAAGCUAGCUUGGGAGAUGCCACUCUAUCAGAUCAACAAAUUACCAUGGAGAGCAUAGUGUAAGCAAGAGAUAGGAUGGAAUCAUUGAGGCAAUGAAGUUGCGAUGGGUAAUGACAUGUCGUGGCCAUGGGGAGUUUGGCUGUCGUCCUGGGCGGAGAGCGGCCGGAGUGGGAUUACCUUGCCUGCUUGAGCAGAUAGGGAAAGUAGGACCGAUUCCUUGACCUCCUUGUCAGGGUCUUGGGAAUGCUAUUAGGUAAAGGUGGAAACCCUUGUGUUGAAUAUCAUCGUUGGCGUAAAGAAUAGUGUAUCUGAUUCUGAUGUUAUUAUUGAGAUUAAUUAUGAGGACUUGGUGGCUAGGACAUUAAUUAUGAUUAGGGCAAUGUCCGCAAGAAGAAAUGUUAGAAAUGGCCACCUUUGAGCAGGCGCCAAUAAGUAGAGGAUGCUGAAGGCGCUGAUGGCUUACAUAGCGGGCUACCACAUUAUGUCCGAUGUCGUUUACGAGAAGCUCAAGCUCAGACUGAAGCGACCUCUGUUCUAUGGAUUGAAGAUGGGGCUUCUACCAUCUAUGAGAAGGGCUCUAAAUGUGUCUCUACAGGCCUUCUGCCGUUCAUUUGUCCUGAUUUUUAUUCUUCCUCGGCAAUUCAGAAUUGGAGGAUCCAUUGGAAGCCAAAUUAUCACCCAAAUCAGUAUUUUUAUGGUGACCACAGUCGUUUCCUUCUGUUGGGAAAUAAGCCAUCAUUUGUUCAGCGUGUGCAUACAAGAAGGGUGCCUUCUUCGAGGAAUCUGGUGAAACUUACAAAAGAAUUGUGAUAGCAUGUUUGAAGCCGCUUGAGGACGCACUCCAAAUAUUGCUGGAGCGCUCGAAGUUGUUUCGCGCCCCCACAGCUUGUCCCUUGGUGGUGGCCGGCCAUUUAUGCUCUGCUACUUGUGCUGCUGCUGCUCUCUGUCUCUCUGUCUUCCUCGAUGCUCAAGACAAGCAACAUGAGCAGUGGCCAGGCUGCCACUGCUUCUUCCCUGCGCAAUAUAGAUGCCAUCCUCGAUUGUCCUUCUUUGUUAUGUCAGAUGGUCGUCCUCGGCGCUGGAAAGAAGCCAUGCGCCCAUCUCCAUGCUCCAGAUCUGCAGGAGCUUCAUUGGGAAAAAACCACGUGUCUCCCAAUUAUGUUCGUCACCAGUCCAAUUAGGCACUGUUUAUGGAGAGCAUAUGAUGGAUAUUCCUGCAGCUAUGGAAAUGGACAUGAUCUAUCUGAUCCGUAAGAUGCCAACUUCCUGCUGUUCUACCCGGCUACGACGGGCUUCGUGUCUCUUUCUUUCCAAGUAGUGGCUCGGCUUCUCUGCCAGGCUUCGGGUUCUUGCAGGGAGAUAACUGGUGUGCUUUGGUUGUCUGGUCCAUGGUCUAGACGAUGCACUAACAUCACGGUUCUAGCUCUGCCCCCUUCAUAUAUCAGGUCAAUGUUCCCCUUUUUAAAUUCAGCCCAUGUGUAUGUACAACCGUUUCUAAUGGUAGUUUUCCCUUGUCUAUCCCCAGACCAUCUCCUCACCUGCGGCUCUUGAAAGGAAGAGCACAAGGCACACCACUGCACCGAGGUGUUGAGACGAGAGUAACCGCCUGGGAUAGUCCCUCUUGCUUUACAUGGCAUAAUCUUAUUUAUUAGAGGUCUGCGUUAGCAUGGGAUAGGAGGAAAGAGCAAGUGCAGAAAUAUCUAAGCCUACACAUUCUAAAUUGACAUGUGUUAAUCAGAGGACCUGUCAUGCUGCUUGCUAAAACAUGUAGUUGUCAAUAUUCACUAAUAACUGGAUCUUAAUCUUCUUUCCUACUAUAAUUGUCUGACACGGCUGGACAUCUCGUGGAUGGAGGUGCGCUGCGUGACGGCUGCAGAGGGGUUUGGUCGCACAGCAGAUUCACCGUCUAGGGAGAGGCAGCUGCAGGAAAUAUGUCUCCAGGCUCACCUCUAUCGAGAUUAUGAUGAUUGGCAUAAUUAGCCAUGGAACUUUUAUCUACCACUGCUAAAAAAAGGCGUGGAGCUAAGUUAUGCUUUCUCUAUCACUUAUUUAAUUACUGAAUCACUGAAUUCUAUCUGUAGUCAUUUUACAGCUUGGAUAGUAGUUGUCAUCUUGAGUCAUCUGCAGCUCAUCUGGCUCUGUUUGCAGUUAAAUUUAUGUACAAUCCGAGGCUAUGGCCCUGUGAUGUGCUUCACGCGAACUUCCUCCACCUAUGAAACUGCUUCAAUGCAUAAAAGUCUACUAUACGAGUGCCUGAUGGCGAGAAGGCGGGCUUCCAGCUGAUAUUAGUUGCAUGAUAAGCAAGCAUGAUCGACCCACAGAUAAUCAUGUAAGGCAUUUUCUUCAGACAAGAAAUUCCAUGUUACUACGGACCAACAACUCUUAUGAAUUAUAAGGAAGUGUUGGUAGGCUCCUUUUUUGAAAUUAACUUGUUUCCUGCAAGAUUUAUUAUUCAUUUCAUUAUGUGACUUCAGCAUGCCACUUUGUAUUUACUUAUCCAUCAUUUGUGGUCCUCGAUUCUUUCUGCAACUUAUUGCGCUAUUAUUUAUCUGGCUGUUGGCUUCGUGUAUUCUGGUUAGUUAUGGUAGCCUAUAUUUUUUUAAUGUCUCAAAUUUUGUCAUGUCUUUCACUGGCCCAUAAAUUAUUAUCUGUCUCUAGGUAUCGAAAUCCAUACAAUAUGGUUAGGAAAAUAAAGUAUUAUAUGUGCACUUACUAUCUCCUCUCCUGUUUUGUAAUUUUUUUCCUUUCUUUCCUUACCCUUUUAUUAUUGUUUGUGUGUAUAUAAUGGUCUCAGCAAAACACAGAGUUUCUUGCAUAUAUGUUGAUGACAUAUGCCUGCCAAAUGUUCCUCCACCAAAACAUGAUAUUAGUAUGUAAGGGUUUAACUAUUCUUCCGUCGAGGUGCUCACCGAGCCACCGAGCCAUCUAAUGAGUGGUGAGUAUAUAGUUGUUCUUGCAGAUGAAUUUUCCCAUGCAUGAUUUGAAGAAGAUGCACAAUUUUCUGACCAGGGAAGGUUCAUCGUUUCUUUCAAUUUGGUCAUUGUUGCCUUAAAAAAAGUGCAUCCUGGAUUAUGUGAAUGGAUCGUAUCAUAAUAGGUUCAUAACAACUGCAUUUACUUCCGGUUCGUGCGUGCACAGUUAUAUUUUUCUCCAAUGAGCUGGAUCAUAUUCGAUGCACUCCAUUUCAUAGUUUCAAAUUGUUUUUGGAUAUUCUUCCCUAAAUAGGAAUUAUUAUGUUGCAAUGAUGGGAUCUGUGGGCUUCUGUUAUUUAUACAUGUAAUUUACAUUUGUUUCUGGUUGAAGAAUAAGCAGUAGAUGGUAGUGUGCCGCAAUUGCUGGAAUUUGUAUGUGGUGCUUGUGUACUGAUGUCAAUUGCUUGGCGUUCUAGCCACUCUGGACAUUAAAAUAUGAUGCAAGCUUGCUUUUGUUUAUCUUUAUAUGAUGCAAGCUUCUAUUUGUUGCUUGCUGAUUCAUUUCUCUUUAUAUGAUGCAAGCUUGCUUUUUAGCGUUCCAGCCACUGUGGACAUUAAAUUAUGAUGCAAGCUUGCUUUUGUUUAUCUUUAUAUGAUGCAAGCUUCUAUUUGUUGCUUGUUGAUUCGUUUCUCUUUAUAUGAUGCAAGCUUGUUUUCUCCGAGUCGACAUAGAAUGGUAGAUCAAUUCAUUCCAGCCAUUGUGGACAUAUGAUGCACAUGUUUUGGUAUAACAAUCAUUGGUGUCAACCUUUUUCUUGCUAUUAAUAAUUGAUAGUGCAUAUUUACUCCUAUUGCUAAAUUCUGGACUGGUGAUAUCUUUGUGGCAAGAAGAUAAUGGCAAUAUUUUAAAGCACUGGUUACUGAUAAGAACACAUAUAUUCCAAGUUUCAGUUAACUUGCUUUGAUUUUCUUAUGUAUAAUUUCUAUUUCUCAAGAGAGUUCUUUAUAAUUAUAAUUGGUUACAGAAGUUUCAGUGCUUAUAGAUGGAUAGAAUAUAGGUUUACUGAUAGACUAUGCUUUCUAUUAUUUGUUGAAGUGAUAUAUGAUUGUUAGCUGAAUAGUAUUAAGUGUUCAUAGAAGGUCAUCGCUUCAUCCGCGGAUACCGUUUAUCAUGUAUAAAUCACUUCAAUCUCUUAGAGGUGUUUUUCGGUCUGAUUUGUUUGUGUAAGUUUUGAUGUACCUUUUUCUUUCCUUUAAUGGCAAUAUUUUAAAGCACUGGUUACUGAUAAGAACACAUAUAUUCCAAGUUUCAGUUAACUUGCUUUGAUUUUCUUAUGUAUAAUUUCUAUUUCUCAAGAGAGUUCUUUAUAAUUAUAAUUGGUUACAGAAGUUUCAGUGCUUAUAGAUGGAUAGAAUAUAGGUUUACUGAUAGACUAUGCUUUCUAUUAUCUGUUGAAGUGAUAUAUGAUUGUUAGCUGAAUAGUAUUAAGUGUUCAUAGUAGGUCAUCGCUUCAUCCGCGGAUACCGUUUAUCAUGUAUAAAUCACUUCAAUCUCUUAGAGGUGUUUUUCGGUCUGAUUUGUUUGUGUAAGUUUUGAUCUACCUUUUUCUUUCCUUUUUGUUGGUAAUUCGUUGGCUGAGAUCUGCACUGGCUUUGAAGAAGUGUCUUUUUCAGUAUGAUUUGUUUGUGGAAGUUUCAAAAAAUGUGCACAAAUAUAAUGGGGUACUGUGAGCUGGGAGAAGAAAAGGAAAGGUACAAACCGGCCUUUUUUCUGGACGGCUUACAGAUUGAGAGUGGGGUGCUCUUUUUAUUUCCAAUCUCAUUUGUUAUGGAGCCCUUCGUUUUCUUUUUUCUAUUUCUCUCGUUGAGAUCCGUACUGACUGAAGGUUACCAUGUUCUUUUGGCAGUGCACAAGUCUCUCUCAUGUUCUUCACGCGAGUAUACAUAUCCAUGGGAUUGUGAUUUAUUUUAUUUGCAGAGCAUUUAAGCUGCCAAAUAUUGUGUUCAUUUGAUAUGAUUAUACUGAUGCAAGGACAUUAAUUAUUAUCUUUUGUUCAUGUAUGUUUGAUUGAAGCUACUGAAGUUGCUUCAUGGUUAAUGGAUAAAUGAUUAAAAAGGACAGCCCAGUACAUGAAGUUACUCAACCUGACCUUUGUUCAUGUUCCAGAGCUCUAAUUUCAUGUUGCUACUGGAUUUACAACUCCCGAGUGAACUAUUUUGUCCCCUCGGCUGGCUUAGUUCUCGGUGAGCAUAUCUGAUUUCUAGCUUGGCCUGUGAGGAAUCGACUUACAAGUGCCAUGGAGUUCUGUUGUCGGUGACUGGUGUCUGCUGAACCAUGUGAUAAGACAAGGCAUCGCUCAUGUCCUGGUCUUGCUCCUUUUUCGGUGCUUCUGAGUCCGCUGAGCUUGGGAGACAUGGUCAAUGCCAGGUGCGCAAGCAUGUUGAUGGUUACCAUCCAGGAUCAUCGGCAAACGUCAAGGAGUAUAGAAGUGUUAUUUGGACUCACCAAAAAAGAUAUGUUCCUUCAACUAUUAUUGUAUGUUGCUCCAGCCUUUUGUUAACCGGUCGAUCCAGAGGCACAAGAGUUUGGGCCAUUCACAGUGAUGUAAUGCUAUAACAUAGGUGUUGAUCUAGAAGCGGAUGAUUAGCAAAUUCCGGCAGAAUCGUUCCAGAAGGGUUUCAAAUUUUCCAUUAUAAAUUUGAGAACAUUUUCAGAGAAUGCACACAUAAGUACCAUCACUACAGUUCUAUAAUGUACCUAUGGUAGUACUAUCCUUAAGUAAUGUUUUUGUACCUAUGCUAUUGCUGGCCUACUUUAUUUAUGUAUAAAUUAGUUUGUACCUGCUGCCACUACUAUUCACUGAGUAAGAAAAAUGGUUGAAUGUAUAUGUAUAAAAUUGACAUCUGUUCUGUUA
Non-coding RNA from Lolium perenne, 6681 nucleotides. The record is from RefSeq and is a predicted model, not a curated record. Lineage: Eukaryota; Viridiplantae; Streptophyta; Magnoliopsida; Poales; Poaceae.